UAGGGAAUCCUCGGCAAUGGGGGGAACCCUGACCGAGCAACGCCGCGUGAGUGAAGAAGGUUUUCGGAUCGUAAAGCUCUGUUGUUAAGGAAGAACGAGUGUGAGAAUGGAAAGUUCAUACUGUGACGGUACUUAACCAGAAAGGGACGGCUAACUACGUGCCAGCAGCCGCGGUAAUACGUAGGUCCCGAGCGUUGUCCGGAUUUAUUGGGCGUAAAGCGAGCGCAGGCGGUUAGAUAAGUCUGAAGUUAAAGGCAGUGGCUCAACCAUUGUAGGCUUUGGAAACUGUUUAACUUGAGUGCAGAAGGGGAGAGUGGAAUUCCAUGUGUAGCGGUGAAGUGCGUAGAUAUAUGGAGGAACACCGGUGGCGAAAGCGGCUCUCUGGUCUGUAACUGACGCUGAGGCUCGAAAGCGUGGGGAGCGAACAGG
This 429-nucleotide ribosomal RNA is filed under the name Bacteroidota bacterium. RNAcentral's name for it is "Bacteroidetes bacterium partial 16S ribosomal RNA". It matches the Rfam family "Bacterial small subunit ribosomal RNA", at positions 355 to 776 of the family's 1533-position model. The record is from RNAcentral. Lineage: Bacteria; Pseudomonadati; Bacteroidota.